Molecule: ribosomal RNA, 397 nt
Filed under: uncultured bacterium
Lineage: Bacteria
Description: bacterial SSU rRNA
Rfam family: Bacterial small subunit ribosomal RNA
Source: RNAcentral
UAUUGGUUAAUGGGGGAAACCCUGAACCAGCAACGCCGCGUGAGGGAAGACGGUUUUCGGAUUUUAAACCUCUGUCCUCUGUGAAGAUUAUGACGGUAGCAGAGGAGGAAGCUCCGGCUAACUACGUGCCAGCAGCCGCGGUAAUACGUAGGGGGCAAGCGUUAUCCGGAUUUACUGGGUGUAAAGGGAGCGUAGGUGGCAGGGCAAGUCAGAGGUGAAAACCCGGGGCUCAACCCCGGGAGUGCAUUUGAAACUGUACAGCUGGAGUGCAGGAGAGGUAAGCGGAAUUCCUAGUGUAGCGGUGAAAUGCAUAGAUAUUAGGAGGAACACCAGUGGCGAAGGCGGCUUACUGGACUGUAACUGACACUGAGGCUCGAAAGCGUGGGGAGCAAACAGG